This is a long non-coding RNA of Numida meleagris (helmeted guineafowl), 1033 nucleotides long. RefSeq lists it as uncharacterized. Lineage: Eukaryota; Metazoa; Chordata; Aves; Galliformes; Numididae. The record is from RefSeq and is a predicted model, not a curated record. The transcript has 5 exons.
CCCUGCCUACCUGAGGCCUUCCAAAGGUGACUGCUGAAAAGAGGUUGGCUGUGUCUCUUUGACUCUCGUACUUAAGGUUUGGAUGUGGGGUGCUGAAGCAAAGUCUUGAGAGGUGUGUGGUCUUGGACCUCAGCAUGGAGCGGCACUGGGAUCUAGAUCUUUGCUUUCUCUCCUGUUUGUAAGAAGCAAACACAGGUUUUGAAGAAACUGUAUGCUAUCACCUGCUGGAAUUUGGUAGCAGUGGGAGUUUGGGUUCAGUCCCUUCACUGUGAUGUUUCUUAGCCUGGAGUCUCACCAGAAAUCCUCUGGGGAAGGCACUGGGAGAAGAACCCACUUUAUGCUUGGGUGGUAAAGCCAACUUGCUGCUAGAGUGCACAGGAGACCAAUGACCUGGGGAGUGCCAAUCGGUGUCCUCGUCGCCCCUAUUUCAUGACCUUCUUCAGAAAGACGAUAUGCAGGACACAUCAGCAGCAGUGUAAGCAGCAUGUGAGGCGUAUAGACCUGGGGACAUCAAAUCCGAGAUCACUGCAACUCUCCACAGUCUGUGAACUGGCGAGAUACUAUGCUGUAUCCUCUCCAAACAUUCUCCAAAAGCCAUUAAUUACAGUUAUCAGGGAAAGAGUUUGGUGCUGAGUUCAAGAUACUGAACCGGAGACAUGGGGAGAGCCAAUUCAGAAGGAAAAUCACCUCUGCAUCCUACAGCACUGUCUGACAUCAAAAGGCCCCUGCCCUUAUGCUGGAAAAUGGAUGUUCAAGGUAGUCCCAGGAUAUAGCUCUGCCUCCCCCAAACCCUGAUACUGCGGGUGUUAGAAGAAGCCUUGAUAGGGGGAAAUAUAAACAGAAAAAGACAUCUGGGGACUGUAGCCAACAACUACGUUUUGGCACUGCAAACCAAACCACAGCCUCAGCACUGCAAGGAGGAUAUCUGCUGGGGUCAUUGCUCUCUGGGAGGAACCACAUGGGGACAAAUAUCUCCCAUCCCCACUGCCUGCUAGGGGGUGGGAGCAGGUCAAGGGGGCAGUGGCAUCAUUAA